UUUGCAACGGCAAGUCCUAAACAACCAGCUCCUGAGAAUCCUCCAGGGUGGGAACGCAGCAAAGGUAAUUGGUUGAGCGGUGUGAUUUAGGUAGCUUGCCAUUUU
Non-coding RNA from Chryseobacterium sp. MOF25P, 105 nucleotides. The record is from Rfam. NCBI's taxonomy places the organism in Bacteria, Pseudomonadati, Bacteroidota, Flavobacteriia, Flavobacteriales, Weeksellaceae.